RNAcentral lists this ribosomal RNA (580 nucleotides) under Pseudomonas sp. 3AR30A. RNAcentral's name for it is "bacterial SSU rRNA". It matches the Rfam family "Bacterial small subunit ribosomal RNA", at positions 45 to 621 of the family's 1533-position model. The record is from RNAcentral. Lineage: Bacteria; Pseudomonadati; Pseudomonadota; Gammaproteobacteria; Pseudomonadales; Pseudomonadaceae.
GGCCUAAACAUGCAAGUCGAGCGGUAGAGAGAAGCUUGCUUCUCUUGAGAGCGGCGGACGGGUGAGUAAUGCCUANGAAUCUGCCUGGUAGUGGGGGAUAACGUUCGGAAACGGACGCUAAUACCGCAUACGUCCUACGGGAGAAAGCAGGGGACCUUCAGGCCUUGCCCUAUCACAUGAGCCUAGGUCGGAUUAGCUAUUUGGUGAGGUAAUGGCUCACCAAGGCGACGAUCCGUAACUGGUCUGAGAGGAUGAUCAGUCACACUGGAACUGAAACACGGUCCAGACUCCUACGGGAGGCAGCAGUGGGGAAUAUUGGACAAUGGGCGAAAGCCUGAUCCAGCCAUGCCGCGUGUGUGAAGAAGGUCUUCGGAUUGUAAAUCACUUUAAGUUGGGAGGAAGGGUACUUACCUAAUACGUGAGUAUUUUGACGUUACCGACAGAAUAAGCACCGGCUAACUCUGUGCCAGCACCCGCGGUAAUACAGAGGGUGCAAGCGUUAAUCGGAAUUACUGGGCGUAAACCGCGCGUACGUGGUUCGUUAAGUUGAACGUGAAAUCUCCUGGCUCAUCCUGGGAAC